This 468-nucleotide ribosomal RNA is filed under the name uncultured bacterium. RNAcentral's name for it is "partial 16S ribosomal RNA". It matches the Rfam family "Bacterial small subunit ribosomal RNA", at positions 28 to 507 of the family's 1533-position model. The record is from RNAcentral.
GACGAACGCUGGCGGCGUGCUUAACACAUGCAAGUCGAACGGAAAGGCCCUGCUCUUGUGGGGUGCUCGAGUGGCGAACGCGUGAGUAACACGUGAGUAACCUGCCCUUGACAUUGGGAUAACUUCAGGAAACUGGGGCUAAUACCCGAUAGGAGCUCCUGCUGCAUGGUGGGGGUUGGAAAGUUUCGGCGGUUGGGGAUGGACUCGCGGGUUAUCAGCUUCUUGGUCGGGUAGUUGCUUACCAAGGCUUUGACGGGUAGGCAGCCUGAGAGGGUGGCCGGCCACAGUGGGACUAAGAUACGGCACAGACUCCUACGGGAGGCAGCAGUGUGGAAUAUUGCACAAUAGGCGGAAGCCUGAUGCGGCAACGCCGCGUGCGGGAUGCCGGCCUUCGGGUGGUAAACCGCUUUCGACGGUGACGAAGCGUGAGUGACGGUAAUGGGUAAAGAAGCACCGGCUAACUACGUG